RNAcentral lists this unclassified non-coding RNA (227 nucleotides) under Hevea brasiliensis (rubber tree). The record is from RNAcentral. Lineage: Eukaryota; Viridiplantae; Streptophyta; Magnoliopsida; Malpighiales; Euphorbiaceae.
GAAGGCGAGCUGUAAUUACUAAAUUUUCUCAGGAAGAAGAAUUUGAGCUAGAGGACUGGUGGGGCAGGCGAAGCUUAGAAAAAUGACAGUGAGCUUGAAGGAGAGAAGCUAAUGCUUGGCAUCAUACAUGGAGGCUCGUGUUCCCAAGUAUCACCAGUGGAUGCAAGAACCUGCUCUUUUCCAAGCUACGGGGUUGUAGCCAUUCUCUCUCGAAGAGGAAUACCAGA